This 122-nucleotide ribosomal RNA is filed under the name Propithecus coquereli (Coquerel's sifaka). Lineage: Eukaryota; Metazoa; Chordata; Mammalia; Primates; Indriidae. The record is from RNAcentral.
GUCUACAGCCAUACCACCCUGAACUCACCUGAUCUCAGAAGCUAAGCAGAGUUGGACUGAGUUAGUGCUUGGAUGGGAAACAAUGGUUUUUUAAAACAUUGAAUAUCAGGCAACAGAAGACA